CGCUCACCAGAGGAAGAAGGCUCCUUAUACACAAAAGAGUCCUUCUUAUCUUUAUCAUCCAUGAGAUUAGGAAUAAAAGGAAAGAGAAAACUAGAACGUAUUACUUGUCAAGCUGGGCACAAUCCCAUGAGUUUAAACACCCUGUAUUAAACUUCUGGAAAAACAUUCUACAUGAAUCUCCUUGUAGGAAAUUGGAAUAAAGUCAGGGAGUAAGCAAAAGCUCCUGCUGAUGUCUGGCUGUUUUAACCUUUGAAAGUCACUAAAUGUGCUAUGAUCACAAAGCUCAAUCCCAUUUUUCUGAACUUCUUUAUUAAUUCACUCAAUAAAAAUAUAUGAGUGGCUAUGAAGUGGAAGCACUAUGCUUGGCACUAGGGACAGGAUAAUAAGAAAAACAGUCUAAACUUAUGGGGCUAAUAUUUCAGUGGGGUGAGACAGAGAGUAGUAAAUAGUUACACUGUUUUAAUAUACACUCCCCCGCAACACAACCCUGUUAACCACUGGCUGGGGCAAGUGCUAAGAAGAAAAGGUCCAGAGGUGCUGUCCAUGGGGUGGGUGGGGGGGUUGAAGGGGUUAAAGAAAUUUUCCACAGGGAACUGAGGUUUGAGCUGAAACAUGAAGGAGGUGGCAUUAAUCAAGGCAGGUGAGGUGUGGGUGGGUAGGGGGACAGGAAGCAGAAGUGUGAUAGCUACAUGUCACCUUGGCUAGGCUAUGGUGCCCAGGUGUUGGAUAAAUGCCAGUCUAGAUGAUAACGUGAAGGUUAUUUUUGGAUAUGGUUCAUUUUUAAAUUAGUAGACUUUGAUUCAGGCAGAUUACCUUCCAAAACAGGGUGGGCUUCAUGCAAUCACUUGAAGGCUUUAAGAAUAAACACUAAGGUCUCCUAAAGAGGAAGGGAUUAAAAUUCUGCCUUUAGACUGCAACACAGAAAUUCUGCCUGAGUUUCCAAUCUUUGGACUCAGGACUGCAGCAACUACUUGAGUUUCCAGCCUGCUGGCCUACCCUUGGAUUUUGGGUUUCCCAGUCCCCAUAAUCAGGUAAGCCAAUUUCUUAAAUCUCUCUAGAUAUAGGUUUAUAGAUAGAGAGGAAGAGAUAGAGAUAUUGCCUGCCAAUUCCAUUCUCUGGAGAACACUGACUAAAUAACACAAGAAGUGAAGAAGACUCUAGCAAAGGUAACCACAUGGGCAAAGCCUCUGAGAUGGGAGAGAGCUGGCAUUUGAGGGAAUAAAAAAUAAGCAAUAUUGCUGAAGAGAGCUAGUGUGGAAGAGUAGCCAGGCCAGAAUUUUGUGCUCUGAAGCCCUUUUUGAAGAGCUGGGACUUUAAAUAUAGCUGCAAAUAUUAAUUUCUUGAAUUUGCGUAAGACUCUGUUCUUUAAAUUCACUCCAUCUUCAACUUUUCAGUUAUUAAGUACGUACACUUUUCUUACCACAUGUAAAAUUUCCGUGAACCACUUAACAUAGACUAAAAUACUCCUCCUUUUCCCUCUCCCCAUCUCUCCCGUUUCCUCUCCAUACAGUAUAUUGCCUCCCUGGAUGUUUCCUCUUUUGACUUCAAAUUACUUGUGCACCUGUGCAUUUCUGCUCUCUGAUCUUAGGUGCAACUUCAUACUUUGGUUCCCCAGUUUACCUACUCUCAAUCAACCUUGCUCCCUACAGCCUUUACUGUAAUAUUUAGUUCUGGGAUUCUGCCUUUCUUUUUAUAAAUUAUCCCUGUCAUUCUGAACUGUCUUGGGGGUCCACUAGUAAAGGUGCCAUGCCCUCCCCAAGCUAAGGUGUGGGACUGAGGGCUUGUGAACCUCUAGCAGAGUAGGAAGUGGCUGGAGCUGAUUCCUUCUCAUGGAGUCUCCCCAAAGAGAUAGUCCAGCUAUCCUCGCCUGAUCUAGGUUCUCAGCCCUGCCCUGGUUUCUAUUCUUUCUACAACCUGGUUUUUCUUGAUGCUCUAAGCCCCAUAUGACCUAGUAAAUCCCUUCUCUCCUUAAGUUAACCAGAAACAGUUUCUGUGGCUUGCAGCCUAAGAAGCCUACUGCUCCAGCAUGAAAGGGGAAGGGAGGAGAGCUUAGUGUGUCUGGAGAGAAAGAAUGUAUGGGGGUAGCUGAAGAUGAGGUGGUUUGGGGCCAGAUUUUAAGGGAUGACAGAGAGAGACCCCAAAAGUUGGAAAUAAAGCUAUCCUGUGAGAAGACAUUGAUGGAAUGUGUUUGGUUAUGGAGAGAAUGAAGUAAGAACUAGUUGGACCCAUUAGUGAGUUUGUUAUUGAAGAUUUCCAGAAUCUCUCUCAGAAUUCCAAGGGAGAGUCAGUCUCUGGGAAAUGGCAUGAAGUCUAUGCAAAAUGUGGAAACUUAAUCCUCUGUUCUGUGCCAACAGAAAAUGGCUGGUCAGCUUGGUGUGGAAAACUGAAGCCCAAUAAAGCAAAGUCUUGGGAGAGAGCUCCCUGUGUGUGAUGCACGUACUAGCAAUGAUGUGGUCACAGCCAGAACCAUCAUUCUCUAAGGCCCCAAAUGGCCAAACAACUCACUCUCCUGAGUGGACUCCAUGGCCAUAAAGAAGCUUAAUAUAAAAAUGGCUUUUCAUGUAACUCUGCUUCUAGGGGAGUAAUAUGCAGCUUGGGCCAAAAUGAGGAUUAGGGCUUGUCUAGCAGUUAUGUUUCAAUGAAAAUUAAUAUGCUGACAAUUUUGGUUCUUACAUGAAUCUUGCAGGAUUAGUUAAUAUGGAUCCAUGGCCGAGAUGUCACGCAAAGUUUCUGAGCUUAUGGAUCUGAGGAUAAGGUUGUAGACUGUGGUGAAUUAAUUCAUUCAAACAAUUUUAUGGAGCCAGAACUUUUUUGUACUCCCAUAAAGCCACAUUUUUUUUUUUUUUCCUAUUCUAGGAAGGGAGUGACACGAUCAGAUCAGAAUGAACCUUGGUUUCAGGCAGAGAGACUCUGGAAAAAGGGAGACCAGAUAGGAGGUCACUGUGAGGGAUCUGGGGAAAACCAGAAAGAUCUGAACUAAGGCAACAGCAGUGGGGAGAGGGGAGAUGCCAGUCACUGGACUGAAGUAUGGUCUUCAGACCCUGAUAACCUGUUGGAUAUAAAGGGUGAGGAACUGGCUGGAACCAAGGAUAGCUAAAGAAUGUCUUACUUGUCAUUUUUCUUUCAUUAAAUAACCCUAUCUGAAUUCCCCCAAACAAUGCUGUAAUAGUUAAAUUGUGACAGUAUGAAAAAGAAUCUGAAUUAAAUUAGUGCUAUGUCAGCCCAUCACACUAGACCACGAAUUCCCUGAGAGGUUUAGCAACACAUUGGAUAAAGUGAAACUAAUUCUUUAGAGCCACAAGUUGACAUAUGCAUGUGCUAUGAAUCCAUAAACUAUACUGGAAGCAUUAGAAAAGGAAGCUAAAAAAUGCAAGUGAACACAUCUGCAUUCUGUUCUGCAAAGCAAGCCUAGUUCACUAUGUCAUUUUCUUUUGUUAGUGUUGAACCAUGAGGAAGCUCUGAAAUGUUCACAUCAUUGACCUUUACAAUCCAGUGUUGUUGACUGCCUCCCCCCCACCCCCCGGCCCCAAAGCUUGAUGAGGCUUUGCAGCCAGGUCACUCUUUCAUAUUUUUCACUAUCCUAAAUUUAGAAAAGGCUGCAAUGCUAACUGCAAGUGACAAAACCCAGAGAAUUUCAAGUUCUGGUUGGCUGCCCUGGGUUACAUUCUCCUCCAGGAGAAGUUGGAGCUGCCAGCUGCAUUAAUGACCAGCCUGUUAGAAGAGAAAUCAGGAGGUACUGCAGAUAAGAAGUUGCAGAGAUUUAAAACUCCCCUCCACUUUUGACUUCAUAGUUAAAAAUAUUUCCUUUGUUUUAAGUAUCUUGAAAAGCGAGAACUAAGUGAAUUUUGUGACUUUUCACUAGCUUGCAUGAAAUAAAGGGUUGUGUGGUUACAUGAUGAAUUUAGGGUCAUUACUGCACCCAGUCUUAAGCAGAUUUCUGGCUUUAGUCUGUGUGAAACGGUUGCAGAUUUGCCAAAAAGUCAUAGAAUACAGUAGUUCAACAUGUGACUCUCGAGCCCCAGCUACAGACCUUUUGAAAAAUGGAUGUCAUUGAUGCCAGAAAGAACCAGAAACCUGUCUCAUCUGAUUCGUUUGGGCUUAUCAAUACUUUAUUUUCAGGAGUACAGAGAAGGCUUUGUGUGCUGAGCUGAUAGACUCUGCUGGAAGAAAUGUGCCAAAAACUUAAAGAGAAAAGAAAAUAGAAAGGCAGUGUAGAUAGUGUCAAAAUGAAGUGCCAUGUUUUAAUUCACUCUAUGGGAUCCACAUCUUAUGCUGAACAGGUCUAGGGCCACUGAAUUCUGGUUUCGCUUUUCUUAAGUAAACGCCCCACUUGAUAUUCUCCUCUGAUUAGCAAUCCUAAGUAUAAUAGGCUUGGAAUUCCAAUAUGCUUAAUUUUAUUAGGAAACAACACAAGACUCAAUUCAAAAAUUUUACCUGCUUUUCUAUUUUAACUUAAGGGUGCAGACAGAACUCAAAGAUGCAGGGGAGUAGCGCUUAUUUCCUAGAUUCUAAUCUACAGCUCAGGCGUCUCAACUUUUUCACAUUCAAUGCUGACUUUUGAAGCUGGCGAUUUUGAUGGCAAAUCUCCAAAUAUUAACUGGACAGCAGAAACAUCCACGUAACUACUCAUACUGUAAAGCCAUUUUUUGUAGCACGUCUAAAGCCAUCCACAGUUAAUGCAAUAGUCAGUGUUAGCCUUUAGCAUGGUGUUGCUGUUUCAGUAGAUUUACUGUCCUGCCCACGUUCCCAUCUAUACUCGUGAAGGGAGUAUAUCACAUUUCCAGUAAACACACUAUCUUUCUUUGAAUAUUCCGCUUCUUAACACUUGUUCUAAACUUGUUACUCCCUACUCUGCACCCCACUCUGCAAACCCCUCUUAACAUUCCAUCUGGCACACACAGCUGGAAUGGUGAAUUUUACUCUGUUGCAGCAAAAAUAUAUUUUCUACAGAGAAAAAAUUUGGCAGCAUUCUUGUAUGGCUUUUGAACAUGCCUUGGCACAGUGCCUUCGCACAAUGUUGGCACCUCGGAUGAUCUCAAGAAAAUCACAGAAAUUUUGUGCCGUGAGUUCUCCUUCUGCAAAAUCUGAGUAAAUCUGAUUUCUAUAGAAACACCACCGAUGAAAAUAUUGUGAGCCCUUCAAUGGCAAUUUGCUGUGUAAUCUUACUGCAGGUUGGAUUCUCCAGGAAACUGACUCUAAGAAGGAGAUCAACACACAGGAGGGGAACUAGGGAGUAUCCUUGAGAUCAAGCAGUGUGGAAGGAAUGGAACAAGAAGGAUAUGGCAGAGGGAGGGAUUGGCUGUGGUUCCAUCUAAUGAGGGCUCGCCAACCCCAUGGGAAGCUCGGAGGCUGGCACGGUCCUUUAGAGUUGUGCCAAAUUGGAGUGAGGGAGUAGACUCUUUAUCUAGGUUGACCAGUCACUGAGUACAGCCUGCCUUAGGAAGGGGCAGUGACUUCGGUGACACAGUUCUUUUCUGUUGAGGCAUUUUGCCAGGAGGGCUCUCUGCAGAGAGCUGUCAUCUAACAACCUUCCCAGUAGGAGGGGAACCAAUCCUUCACUCAUGAAGUAGGGAUCAUAGUGGCCCAGUAUGGUAUACACGACAAAAACCAAGCUAGGAGCAGCUUACAUGAACUAUGCUUUCCUUUCUGGUAGCUGGUGGCUUCCAAUGGAGAGAGAAUUAUGAUAUGAAUGGAUAUAGUGAGACUUCCUUUUCUUCACCUCCAUCACCAUCACACAAAGUUCCACUACACUCUGAUGCCAUAGAUCCAGCAGGGAAACUGCAUGAAGCACUCUUUCUUGGAUUAGGUUGAUCUCCUGGUCGCCAACCAGCCUUGUCAUCUUUGUGCACUCAGUACUAUGUAACGUGGGCUAUAUUUCCUUUCUAAUAUUCAAGUGGCACAUUUAUAACAGUAUGUCUCUCAAGUCUUGGUUGUUUAUGCAAAAAUGAUUAGCUGUUUAAAAGAGAAAAUUGCAUUUAGUUGAUAUAUGCUCUAAGUCCUAUUAGGUAGGACAGUACUCCUAAUCACUUCCUUUUUAUGACAUUAACAUUAAUGUUUUGAAGAGAACUUGCCAGUUAGCUUGUGUAAACUGUCCCUUAUUCUGGAUAUACCUGAUUAUUUCCUCAUAAUUUUAUUUAAAUUUUCCUCUUCAGGGAAGGAAAUUAAAUAGGUCUAAAGGCUUGAUGAGAUUCUGGUUAAACAGUUUGGUAAGAAUAUUUAUUAUAUGCAUUUUGGAAAGGGAAGCUGUAAAAUGCAUUUUGGAGCUUCAAAAUACAUGAGCUGAAAAUUGACAGAAGAAAAGGGAAACAGAUUAUUCUAAAGUCAUAGUUGGAGAUUAGACUCUUCUCUCAUCAAUGAAUAGGCAAACAAGGCAAAAAAAUCAGUAAAGAUAUAGAAGAUAUAAACAAAACUAUCACCCAUCUUGACCUAACUGAUAUGUAUAAAACAUUAUACCCAAUAUUAAAGAAUAAACAUUCUUUUCAAGUGUACAUGGUAUGCUCAUCAAGAUAGACUGACCAUAUUUUGAGCCAAAAAAUAAGCCUUAAAAGUUCAAAAAAGGGAGUUCCCAUCGUGGCGCAGUGGUUAACGAAUCUGACUAGGAACGAUGAGGUUGUGGGUUCCGUCCCUGCCCUUGCUCAGUGGGUUAACGAUCCGGCGUUGCCGUGAGCUGUGGUGUAGGUUGCAGACGCGGCUCGGAUCCCGAGUUGCUGUGGCUCUGGCGUAGGUCUGUGGCUACAGCACCGAUUCGACCCCUAGCCUGGGAACCUCCAUACGCCGUGGGAGCGGCCCAAGAAAU
RNAcentral lists this long non-coding RNA (6796 nucleotides) under Sus scrofa (pig). RNAcentral describes it as "lncRNA (ENSSSCG00000052928.1)". The record is from RNAcentral. Lineage: Eukaryota; Metazoa; Chordata; Mammalia; Artiodactyla; Suidae.